This 680-nucleotide ribosomal RNA is filed under the name uncultured archaeon. RNAcentral's name for it is "bacterial SSU rRNA". It matches the Rfam family "Archaeal small subunit ribosomal RNA", at positions 346 to 1026 of the family's 1478-position model. The record is from RNAcentral.
AACUUUACAAUGCGGGAAACCGUGAUAAGGGAAUCUCGAGUGCCAGCAUAUAAUGUUGGCUGUCCAGAUGCCUAAAAAGCAUCUGUUAGCAAGGGCCGGGCAAGACCGGUGCCAGCCGCCGCGGUAACACCGGCGGCCCGAGUGGUAACCACUUUUAUUGGGUCUAAAGGGUCUGUAGCCGGCCAUGUAAGUCCCUUGGGAAAUCUGGCAGCUCAACUGUCAGGCUGCUAGGGGAUACUGCAUGGCUUGGGACCGGGAGAGGUGAGAGGUACCUUGGGGGUAGGGGUGAAAUCUUGUGAUCCUCGGGGGACCACCAGUGGCGAAGGCGUCUCACCAGAACGGGUCCGACGGUAAGGGACGAAAGCUAGGGGCACGAACCGGAUUAGAUACCCGGGUAGUCCUAGCCGUAAACGAUGCUCGCUAGGUGUCAGUCACGGUGCGACCGUGAUUGGUGCCGUAGGGAAGCCGUGGAGCGAGCCACCUGGGAAGUACGGCCGCAAGGCUGAAACUUAAAGGAAUUGGCGGGGGAGCACUACAACGGGUGGAGCCUGCGGUUUAAUUGGAUUCAACGCCGGAAAUCUCACCGGGGGCGACAGCAAUAUGAAGGUCAGGCUGAAGACCUUACCGGAUUAGCUGAGAGGUGGUGCAUGGCCGUCGUCAGUUCGUACUGUGAAGCAUAA